Molecule: ribosomal RNA, 471 nt
Filed under: uncultured bacterium
Lineage: Bacteria
Description: bacterial SSU rRNA
Rfam family: Bacterial small subunit ribosomal RNA
Source: RNAcentral
CUAUGGAAGCUUGCUUCCACUGAGAAGAUAGUGGCGAACGGGUGAGUAACACGUGGGUAACCUGCCCAUAAGAGGGGGGAUAACAUCCGGAAACGGGUGCUAAUACCGCAUAGUUUUCUUGAUCGCAUGAUUGAGAAAGGAAAGACGGCCUUUGUGCUGUCGCUUAUGGAUGGACCCGCGGCGUAUUAGUUAGUUGGUGAGGUAACGGCUCACCAAGACGAUGAUACGUAGCCGACCUGAGAGGGUGAUCGGCCACAUUGGGACUGAGACACGGCCCAAACUCCUACGGGAGGCAGCAGUAGGGAAUCUUCCGCAAUGGACGAAAGUCUGACGGAGCAACGCCGCGUGAGUGAAGAAAGGUUUUCGGAUCGUAAAACUCUGUUGUCAGAGAAGAACAAGUUGGAGAGUAACUGCUCCAGCCUUGACGGUAUCUGACCAGAAAGCCACGGCUAACUACGUGCCAGCAGCCGC